UAGUCCACGCUGUAAACGAUGAUCACUAGAUGUUCGGCCCUUGAGGCUGAGUGUCCAAGCGAAAGCGAUAAGUGAUCCACCUGGGGAGUACGUUGGCAACAAUGAAACUCAAAGGAAUUGACGGGGGCCCGCACAAGCGGUGGAGCAUGUGGUUUAAUUCGAUGAUACGCGAGGAACCUUACCUAGGCUAGAAUGCAUAUGGCUGUUGGCUGAAAGGUCAAUUUCCUUCGGGACUGUAUGCAAGGUGCUGCAUGGUUGUCGUCAGCUCGUGCCGUGAGGUGUUGGGUUAAGUCCCGCAACGAGCGCAACCCUUGUCGUUAGUUGCCAUCAGACAGUGAUGUGCUGGGCACUCUAACGAGACUGCCCGUGAUAAGCGGGAGGAAGGUGGGGAUGACGUCAAGUCAGUAUGGUCCUUAUGCCCAGGGCUGCACACGUGCUACAAUGGACGGUACAAUGGGUAGCCAAACCGCGAGGUGGAGCCAAUCCCCAAAACCCG
This 496-nucleotide ribosomal RNA is filed under the name uncultured bacterium. Its description in RNAcentral is "bacterial SSU rRNA". It matches the Rfam family "Bacterial small subunit ribosomal RNA", at positions 791 to 1284 of the family's 1533-position model. The record is from RNAcentral.